UACGUAGGGUCCGAGCGUUGUCCGGAAUCAUUGGGCGUAAAGAGCGUGUAGGCGGCUCGAUAAGUCUGCUGUGAAAGUCCAGGGCUCAACCCUGGAAGGCCGGUGGAAACUGUCGGGCUAGAGUCCGGAAGAGGCGAGUGGAAUUCCUGGUGUAGCGGUGAAAUGCGCAGAUAUCAGGAGGAAUACCGGAGGCGAAGGCGGAUAGCUGGGCCAACACUGACACUGAGACCCGAAAGCGUGGGGAUCAAACAGG
RNAcentral lists this ribosomal RNA (253 nucleotides) under uncultured bacterium. RNAcentral's name for it is "partial 16S ribosomal RNA". It matches the Rfam family "Bacterial small subunit ribosomal RNA", at positions 524 to 776 of the family's 1533-position model. The record is from RNAcentral.